GACGAACGCUGGCGGCGUGCUUAACACAUGCAAGUCGAACGGAAAGGCCCUGCUUUUGUGGGGUGCUCGAAUGGCGAACGGGUGAGUAACACGUGAGUAACCUGCCCUUGACUUUGGGAUAACUUCAGGAAACUGGGGCUAAUACCGGAUAGGAGCUCCUGCUGCAUGGUGGGGGUUGGAAAGUUUCGGCGGUUGGGGAUGGACUCGCGGCUUAUCAGCGUGUUGGUGGGGUAGUGGCUUACCAAGGCUUUGACGGGUAGCCGGCCUGAGAGGGUGACCGGCCACAUUGGGACUGAGAUACGGCCCAGACUCCUACGGGAGGCAGCAGUGGGGAAUAUUGCACAAUGGGCGGAAGCCUGAUGCAGCAACGCCGCGUGCGGGAUGACGGCCUUCGGGUUGUAAACCGCUUUCGCCUGUGACGAAGCGUGAGUGACGGUAAUGGGUAAAGAAGCACCGGCUAACUACGUG
This 468-nucleotide ribosomal RNA is filed under the name uncultured bacterium. RNAcentral's name for it is "partial 16S ribosomal RNA". It matches the Rfam family "Bacterial small subunit ribosomal RNA", at positions 28 to 507 of the family's 1533-position model. The record is from RNAcentral.